CUCUUAGCAGGGGAUAACUUUUGGAAACAAGUGCUAAUACCGUAUAACACUAACAACCGCAUGGUUGUUAGUUGAAAGAUGGUUCUGCUAUCACUAAGAGAUGGACCCGCGGUGCAUUAGCUAGUUGGUAAGGUAAUGGCUUACCAAGGCGAUGAUGCGUAGCCGAGUUGAGAGACUGAUCGGCCACAAUGGGACUGAGACACGGCCCAUACUCCUACGGGAGGCAGCAGUAGGGAAUCUUCCACAAUGGGCGCAAGCCUGAUGGAGCAACGCCGCGUGUGUGAUGAAGGGUUUCGGCUCGUAAAACACUGUUAUAAGAGAAGAACGACAUUGAGAGUAACUGUUCAGUGUGUGACGGUAUCUUAUCAGAAAGGAACGGCUAAAUACGUGCCAGCAGCCGCGGUAAUACGUAUGUUCCAAGCGUUAUCCGGAUUUAUUGGGCGUAAAGCGAGCGCAGACGGUUAUUUAAGUCUGAAGUGAAAGCCCUCAGCUCAACUGAGGAAGGGCUUUGGAAACUGGAUAACUUGAGUGCAGUAGAGGAAAGUGGAACUCCAUGUGUAGCGGUGAAAUGCGUAGAUAUAUGGAAGAACACCGGUGGCGAAAGCGGCUUUCUGGACUGUAACUGACGUUGAGGCU
This 636-nucleotide ribosomal RNA is filed under the name uncultured bacterium. Its description in RNAcentral is "bacterial SSU rRNA". It matches the Rfam family "Bacterial small subunit ribosomal RNA", at positions 130 to 753 of the family's 1533-position model. The record is from RNAcentral.